UACGUAGGGUGCAAGCGUUGUCCGGAAUUAUUGGGCGUAAAGAGCUCGUAGGCGGUUGGGCAAGUCACGUGUGAAAUCUCCACGCUCAACGUGGAGGCGCCACGUGAGACUGCCCUGACUCGAGUCCGGUAGGGGAGCGUGGAAUUCCCGGUGUAGCGGUGAAAUGCGCAGAGAUCGGGAGGAACACCCGUAGCGAAGGCGGUUCUCUGGGACGGUACUGACGCUGAGACGCGAAAGCGUGGGGAGCGAACAGG
This 254-nucleotide ribosomal RNA is filed under the name uncultured bacterium. RNAcentral's name for it is "partial 16S ribosomal RNA". It matches the Rfam family "Bacterial small subunit ribosomal RNA", at positions 524 to 776 of the family's 1533-position model. The record is from RNAcentral.